RNAcentral lists this ribosomal RNA (619 nucleotides) under uncultured Bacteroidales bacterium. RNAcentral's name for it is "bacterial SSU rRNA". It matches the Rfam family "Bacterial small subunit ribosomal RNA", at positions 104 to 720 of the family's 1533-position model. The record is from RNAcentral. Lineage: Bacteria; Pseudomonadati; Bacteroidota; Bacteroidia; Bacteroidales.
GGGUGAGUAACGCGUAUGCAACUUACCUAUCAGAGGGGGAUAACCCGGCGAAAGUCGGACUAAUACCGCAUGAAGCAGGGGCCCCGCAUGGGGAUAUUUGCUAAAGAUUCAUCGCUGAUAGAUAGGCAUGCGUUCCAUUAGGCAGUUGGCGGGGUAACGGCCCACCAAACCGACGAUGGAUAGGGGUUCUGAGAGGAAGGUCCCCCACAUUGGUACUGAGACACGGACCAAACUCCUACGGGAGGCAGCAGUGAGGAAUAUUGGUCAAUGGCCGAGAGGCUGAACCAGCCAAGUCGCGUGAGGGAUGAAGGUUCUAUGGAUCGUAAACCUCUUUUAUAAGGGAAUAAAGUGCGGGACGUGUCCCGUUUUGUAUGUACCUUAUGAAUAAGGAUCGGCUAACUCCGUGCCAGCAGCCGCGGUAAUACGGAGGAUCCGAGCGUUAUCCGGAUUUAUUGGGUUUAAAGGGUGCGUAGGCGGCCUUUUAAGUCAGCGGUGAAAGUCUGUGGCUCAACCAUAGAAUUGCCGUUGAAACUGGGGGGCUUGAGUAUGUUUGAGGCAGGCGGAAUGCGUGGUGUAGCGGUGAAAUGCAUAGAUAUCACGCAGAACCCCGAUUGCGAAG